RNAcentral lists this ribosomal RNA (397 nucleotides) under uncultured bacterium. Its description in RNAcentral is "partial 16S ribosomal RNA". It matches the Rfam family "Bacterial small subunit ribosomal RNA", at positions 523 to 918 of the family's 1533-position model. The record is from RNAcentral.
AUACGUAGGGGGCGAGCGUUGUCCGGAAUGAUUGGGCGUAAAGGGCGCGUAGGCGGCCCGGUAAGUCUGGAGUGAAAGUCCUGUUUUUAAGAUGGGAAUUGCUUUGGAUACUGUCGGGCUUGAGUGCAGGAGAGGUAAGUGGAAUUCCCGGUGUAGCGGUGAAAUGCGUAGAGAUUGGGAGGAACACCAGUGGCGAAGGCGACUUACUGGACUGUAACUGACGCUGAGGCGCGAAAGUGUGGGGAGCAAACAGUAUUAGAUACCCUGGUAGUCCACACUGUAAACGAUGAAUGCUAGGUGUAAGAGGUAUCGACCCCUUUUGUGCCGGAGUCAACACAAUAAGCAUUCCGCCUGGGGAGUACGGCCGCAAGGUUGAAACUCAAAUGAAUUGACGGGG